Molecule: ribosomal RNA, 506 nt
Filed under: uncultured bacterium
Lineage: Bacteria
Description: bacterial SSU rRNA
Rfam family: Bacterial small subunit ribosomal RNA
Source: RNAcentral
GAUGAACGCUAGCGGGAGGCUUAACACAUGCAAGUCGAGGGGUAUUGUAGCAAUACAUUAGACCGGCGCACGGGUGAGUAACGCGUAUGCAACCUGCCGUUAACCGGGGGAUAGCCCGUCGAAAGGCGGAUUAAUACCCCAUAAUAUUGGGAUUCUGCAUGGGAUUUCAAUUAAAGCUGAGGUGGUUAACGAUGGACAUGCGUGACAUUAGCUAGUUGGUAGGGUAACGGCCUACCAAGGCUACGAUGUCUAGGGGUUCUGAGAGGAAGGUCCCCCACACUGGUACUGAGACACGGACCAGACUCCUACGGGAGGCAGCAGUGAGGAAUAUUGGUCAAUGGACGAGAGUCUGAACCAGCCAAGUCGCGUGAAGGAAGACGGUUCUAUGAAUUGUAAACUUCUUUUGUGCAGGAAUAAAGUGGGUUACGUGUAACCUUUUGUAUGUACUGUACGAAUAAGGAUCCGGCCUAACUCCGUGCCAGCAGCCGACGGUAAACUGUAGUCGU